This 290-nucleotide ribosomal RNA is filed under the name Salmonella enterica. RNAcentral's name for it is "partial 23S ribosomal RNA". It matches the Rfam family "Bacterial large subunit ribosomal RNA", at positions 1143 to 1347 of the family's 2925-position model. The record is from RNAcentral. RNAcentral also lists the same sequence under 12 other names. Lineage: Bacteria; Pseudomonadati; Pseudomonadota; Gammaproteobacteria; Enterobacterales; Enterobacteriaceae.
CACUGGUCGAGUCGGCCUGCGCGGAAGAUGUAACGGGGCUAAACCAUGCACCGAAGCUGCGGCAGCGAACGUAUCACCCAAGACAACUUUACGGAGUUGACGAUUGACGGAGCGAAGCGACGUCAAAGCGUUCAUUAAAGUCGAGUUGGCUUAGGGAUACGUUCGUUGGGUAGGGGAGCGUUCUGUAAGCCUGUGAAGGUGUGUCGUGAGGCAUGCUGGAGGUAUCAGAAGUGCGAAUGCUGACAUAAGUAACGAUAAAGCGGGUGAAAAGCCCGCUCGCCGGAAGACCA